This 182-nucleotide non-coding RNA is filed under the name unclassified sequences. Its description in RNAcentral is "RT-15 RNA". It matches the Rfam family "RT-15 RNA". Rfam says of the family: Proteobacteria. The record is from Rfam by way of RNAcentral.
CCAUGCCAGAUUCUGCGGCCGCCACGGUGGCCGCAGCCGUGCAUUUUAAUCUGGUCGCGCCCAUGGCCACAGGUCAUGCAAAGCCAGUACGGGAAACCGCGUCAAUAGGCGUAGGUCUUAUGGCAGCUUCCGCGCCGAUACAGAUAGGCAUUGACGCAGCGGCGUGUAGGCGCAACACACCC